ACGAUGAAGAGUUUGAUCCUGGCUCAGGAUGAACGCUAGCGGCAGGCUUAACACAUGCAAGUCGAGGGGCAGCACGUCUUCGGAUGGUGGCGACCGGCGCACGGGUGCGUAACGCGUAUACAAUCUACCUUUUACAGAGAGAUACCCCAGAGAAAUUUGGAAUAAUACCUC
RNAcentral lists this ribosomal RNA (171 nucleotides) under Bacteroidales bacterium. RNAcentral describes it as "partial 16S ribosomal RNA". It matches the Rfam family "Bacterial small subunit ribosomal RNA", at positions 1 to 172 of the family's 1533-position model. The record is from RNAcentral. Lineage: Bacteria; Pseudomonadati; Bacteroidota; Bacteroidia; Bacteroidales.